Molecule: long non-coding RNA, 504 nt
Organism: Melanotaenia boesemani (Boeseman's rainbowfish)
Lineage: Eukaryota; Metazoa; Chordata; Actinopteri; Atheriniformes; Melanotaeniidae
Exons: 3
Source: RefSeq, a predicted model, not a curated record
GAAAACCUGUAACAAAAAAAGUACACAAAAUAAACAAGUGCUGGGGUUAGCGGACCUGCUAAAAGAAAUAUACCAGAACCUAAACCAAAGAAACCACCGAGUGAAAACCAAAAGACUGUACAGAGACUCGGUGAAGCUAAAACCAAACAAAAGAGCAGCAGAUCCAUAAACUAAAGUGAUGGAAGUCACAACCAAAACCAAACACUAAUCUAGCCCAACACCAAAUCAAAAAUAAACACUGUGGCAGAAACACAAACUAAAGUGUAGCAGAGCCUGAACUGAACUGAGUGUGUAAACUAAGGUGAAUCCAAACUAAAAACAGAACCAUCCGAAGUCCCCACAUGGGACGCACCACAGCCAAGAAUCCUCCUGCUGUGUCCAAAUAAUGGUCUGCCCCACAAAAGAUUCACUGACACGAAGCACAGCGAGCACUCAGUAGGCCUUGCUACCACCAAAAUCCGCCAUAACUCGGAACGAGGCCACCUGUAGAGAUGUUAUGAUCGU